GUGAACUCUAGCCCCAUAAACACACUGCCCCCACACACACACCAUACACAUUCACACACUGCCCCCAUACACACCAUACACAUUUACACACAUUGCCUCACACACACACAUACACUGCCCACCCAUAUACACACAGCCCCCCAUACUAACAUUGCCACACACGUACACAGCCCACACACCCUACACAUUCACACACUACACCCCCCACACACACUGAACCUUUC
Molecule: non-coding RNA, 224 nt
Organism: Pelobates cultripes (western spadefoot toad)
Lineage: Eukaryota; Metazoa; Chordata; Amphibia; Anura; Pelobatidae
Source: the annotation of a GenBank genome assembly